This is an RNA transcript of Schistocerca gregaria, 1222 nucleotides long. It is a transcript of the gene named protein N-terminal asparagine amidohydrolase-like, with no coding region annotated. Lineage: Eukaryota; Metazoa; Arthropoda; Insecta; Orthoptera; Acrididae. The transcript is spliced from 9 exons. The record is from RefSeq and is a predicted model, not a curated record.
UGUACGCUUGUGUAUAAACAAACUUGUGUCGCGUUGUGAAAGGUGGAACAUAAGAGUGAAUGUUUUGUUGAAAGUGUACAUAUUUCAGUCGUUUGCCGUGCUGGUGAAAAACCUAUAACUAUUGUUCGCGAAUAAAGAUGCUGCAGUGAUUCAGUGCAAUUACAGAUUUUUAACCUGGAAAAACUUCUCCUUUUUGUUAUUCAUUACUUAAUGCAAAUAUGGUACUUGUGUUCAAUGGAGUUGUACAAAAUGCACCUCCGCCUAACUUACACGCAUUUCUACAGAAUAAUCCUGAGAUAAGAGAACAGUCAGAGAAAUUUUUAGAGAUUCCAACAAAAACUGUAGGACCACAUGGACUACUCUAUGUUCACCAAGGAGAGCUUGCUGUCACUGAGCCUAAUGACUCAAAUGUAGAGGUCUUAGGAUCUGAUGAUGCAACGACAUGUAUUAUUGCUGUACUUAGACAUCCAGUUUGUGGGGCAGUAGCUCUGUCCCAUAUGGACGGUGGAGGAGUUGCAGACUGUGUGGCCAGAAUGAUUGAGAGUGUUAAGCAGAUUGCUGGUGGAAGCUCUGAUGGAAAGAUGGAAUUACAAGUGUUUGGAGCUUUUGGAUAUGCACAGAACUUUUCAGAGACAGUAUUUGCUUCUGUAAUGGUAACCUUCCAUAAACAUCCUGAAAAGGUUAAUGUCACACUUGCAUGUGUUGGAGAUAUCAACACAACUGUUAAAGAUGGCAAACACUGGCCAUCAUUGUAUGGAGUAGGAAUUAAUGUCAAGACUGGUGAAUUGUUUCCUGCUGUGUACAAAGACAGAGGACCAGAUGAAGGUCUACGGCAUGCACGACAGCUGUGUAGUAAACUAAGAAUGAUGGAAGUAUACAAUAAUGAGACAAGAAUGUUGAAGAUAGGCCCAUUUGAUUAUUCACCUUUGGAUGACGCAGAGAUGUGGCUGAAUCUACCUGAUGAAGUUAUUCUGCGUUACAUGAGCACAUCCCCUGAAGUUGAACCACCCCAUUUUGUGUCACAGGCUGCAGAUGGUCGGGAGGUUUCAGUGAUGUUGUGUCCCUCCCUGUGUAAUUGGUGAAGAAGAGUCGUGGACAAUCUCCAAAGCUAGCAUCAUUUUCCAGGAGCAAAAUUCGGAAGGCACUGAAAUGUAUGUUAGAUCACCCCUCUCCAAUUAACACAAUAUUCAAAUUCAACAAACCUCGGUGUUAUGUACGAGAU